UACGGGAAGCAGCAGUAGGGAAUCUUCCACAAUGGGCGAAAGCCUGAUGGAGCAAUGCCAUGUGAAUGAUGAAGGCCUUAUUGGUCGUAAAGUUCUUUUAGGGGGGAAAACUCGGAUGGUACCCCCUGAAUAAGUGACAGCAAACUAUGUGCCAGCAGCUGCGGUAAUACAUAGGUCGCGAGCGUUAUUCGGAUUUAUUGGGCGUAAAGCAAGCGCAGGCGGAUGGAUAAGUUCUGUGUGAAAAGCAGCUGCUCAACAGCUGUUUGCGCCGAAUACUAUCCAUCUAGAAUACGGUAGGAAGUUUUGGAAUUGAAUAUGGAGCGGUGGAAUGUGUAGAUAUAUUCAAGAACACCAGAGGCGAAGGCGAAAACUUAGGCCGCUAUUGACGCUUAGGCUUGAAAGUGUGGGGAGCAAAUGGGAUUAGAUACCCCAGUAGUCCACACCGUAAACGAUGGGUAUUAAAUGUUGGGGCUGGUGCCUCAGCGUUGUAGCUUACGUGUUAAAUACCCCGCCUGGGUAGUACAUAUGCAAAUAUGAAACUCAAAGGAAUUGACGGGGACCUGAACAAGUGGUGGAACAUGUUGCUUAAUUCGAUAAUACACGAAAAACCUUACCAAGAUUUGACAUCCCUCGCGAAGCUUUAGAGAUAAAGUGAAGGUUAUCGAGGUGACAGGUGGUGCAUGGUUGUCGUCAGCUCGUGUCAUGAGAUGUUGGGUUAAGUCCCGCAACGAGCGCAACCCUACUCUCUAGUUGUUUGUUUAGAGAGACUGAACAGUAAUGUAUAGGAAGGUCGGGAUCACGUCAAAUCAUCAUGCCCCUUAUGUCUUGGGCCGCAAACGUGUUACAAUGGCGAGCACAGCGUGUCGCAAAUCAGCGAUGGUAAGCUAAUCACUAAAAACUCGUCUCAGUCCGGAUAAAAGGCUGCAAUUCGCCUUUUUGAAGUUGGAAUCACUAGUAAUCCCGUGUCAGCUAUAUCGGGGUGAAUACGUUCCCAGGUCUUGUACACA
RNAcentral lists this ribosomal RNA (1007 nucleotides) under uncultured Mycoplasma sp. RNAcentral's name for it is "bacterial SSU rRNA". It matches the Rfam family "Bacterial small subunit ribosomal RNA", at positions 340 to 1389 of the family's 1533-position model. The record is from RNAcentral. Lineage: Bacteria; Bacillati; Mycoplasmatota; Mollicutes; Mycoplasmatales; Mycoplasmataceae.